ACUCAAAUGAAUAGACGGGGGACCGCACAAGCGGUGGAGCAUGUGGCUUAAUUCGAUGCAACGCGAAGAACCUUACCAGGGCUUGACAUGUAUCUGCAAGCUGCCGAAAAGCAGUCGCUUUCGAAGGUGAUACACAGGUGGUGCAUGGCUGUCGUCAGCUCGUGUUGUGAAAUGUUGGGUUAAGUCCCGCAACGAGCGCAACCCUCAUGUUAUGUUGCCAGCGAGUAAUGUCGGGAACUCAUAACAAACUGCCUCUGUAAAGAGGAGGAAGGCGGGGAUGACGUCAAGUCAUCAUGCCCCUUACGCCCUGGGCUGCACACAUGCUACAAUGGCUGAUACAAAGGGUUGCUAACCUGCGAAGGUAUGCUAAUCUCAAAAAAUCAGUCUCAGUUCGGAUCGGAGUCUGCAACUCGACUCCGUGAAGUUGGAAUCGCUAGUAACCGCCGGUCAGCAAUACGGCGGUGAAUACGUUCCCGGUCCUUGCACACACCGCCCGU
Molecule: ribosomal RNA, 497 nt
Filed under: uncultured bacterium
Lineage: Bacteria
Description: partial 16S ribosomal RNA
Rfam family: Bacterial small subunit ribosomal RNA
Source: RNAcentral